UACGGGGGGGGUAAGCGUUGUUCGGAAUUACUGGGCGUAAAGCGUGCGCAGGCGGCUUCGCAAGUCAGGCGUGAAAUCCCCGGGCUUAACCUGGGAAUGGCGUCUGAAACUACGGAGCUGGAGUGUGGCAGAGGGAGGUAGAAUUCCACGUGUAGCGGUGAAAUGCGUAGAUAUGUGGAGGAAUACCGAUGGCGAAGGCAGCCUCCUGGGCCAACACUGACGCUCAUGCACGAACGCGUGGGGAGCAAACAGG
This 253-nucleotide ribosomal RNA is filed under the name uncultured bacterium. RNAcentral's name for it is "partial 16S ribosomal RNA". It matches the Rfam family "Bacterial small subunit ribosomal RNA", at positions 524 to 776 of the family's 1533-position model. The record is from RNAcentral.